Molecule: non-coding RNA, 133 nt
Filed under: Verrucomicrobiia bacterium DG1235
Lineage: Bacteria; Pseudomonadati; Verrucomicrobiota; Verrucomicrobiia
Also listed under: 1 other name
Description: Verrucomicrobiae bacterium DG1235 TPP riboswitch aptamer (THI element)
Rfam family: TPP riboswitch aptamer (THI element)
About the family: Vitamin B(1) in its active form thiamin pyrophosphate (TPP) is an essential coenzyme that is synthesised by coupling of pyrimidine and thiazole moieties in bacteria. The previously detected thiamin-regulatory element, thi box was extended, resulting in a new, highly conserved RNA secondary structure, the THI element, which is widely distributed in eubacteria and also occurs in some archaea. Analysis of operon structures identified a large number of new candidate thiamin-regulated genes, mostly transporters, in various prokaryotic organisms.
Source: Rfam by way of RNAcentral
CGCAAUCCUUGGGGGCGACCUGGUAUGGGUCUGAGAUGUUUCCUUGCCGGUGGUUAACAGCCAUCUGCGCAGAAGCGGUCCCUUAGAACCUGAUCCGGUUGAUCCCGGCGUAGGAAAAGGUAAGAGUCGACCU